This 379-nucleotide ribosomal RNA is filed under the name uncultured eukaryote. RNAcentral describes it as "partial 18S ribosomal RNA". It matches the Rfam family "Eukaryotic small subunit ribosomal RNA", at positions 592 to 975 of the family's 1831-position model. The record is from RNAcentral.
CAAUAGCGUAUAUUAAAGUUGUUGCAGUUAGAACGCUCGUAGUCGGAUUUCGGGGCGGGCCGACCGGUCUGCCGAUGGGUACGCACUGGUCGGCGCGUCCUUCCUUCCGGAGACCGUGCCUACUCUUAACUGAGCGGGGGCGGGGGACGGAACGUUUACUUUGAAAAAAUCAGAGUGUUUCAAGCAGGCAGUGCGCUCUUGCAUGGAUUAGCAUGGGAUAAUGAAAUAGGACUUUGGUGCUAUUUUGUUGGUUUCGAACACCGAAGUAAUGAUUAAAAGGGACAGUCAGGGGCACUCGUAUUCCGCCGAGAGAGGUGAAAUUCUCAGACCAGCGGAAGACGAACCACUGCGAAAGCAUUUGCCAGGGAUGUUUUCACUG